RNAcentral lists this ribosomal RNA (253 nucleotides) under uncultured bacterium. Its description in RNAcentral is "partial 16S ribosomal RNA". It matches the Rfam family "Bacterial small subunit ribosomal RNA", at positions 524 to 776 of the family's 1533-position model. The record is from RNAcentral.
UACGAAGGGGGCUAGCGUUGUUCGGAAUUACUGGGCGUAAAGCGUGCGCAGGCGGCUAUCCAAGUCAGUGGUGAAAGCCCGGAGCUCAACUCCGGAAUUGCCAUUGAAACUGUUUAGCUUGAGUACGAGAGAGGUGAGUGGAAUUCCCAGUGUAGAGGUGAAAUUCGUAGAUAUUCGCAAGAACACCAGUGGCGAAGGCGGCUCACUGGCCCGGAACUGACGCUGAGGUGCGAAAGCGUGGGGAGCAAACAGG